UACGUAGGGUGCAAGCGUUGUCCGGAAUUAUUGGGCGUAAAGGGCUCGUAGGCGGCCAACUAAGUCAGACGUGAAAUCCCUCAGCUUAACUGGGGAACUGCGUCUGAUACUGGAUGGCUUGGAUUCGGGAGAGGAAUGCGGAAUUCCAGGUGUAGCGGUGAAAUUCGUAGAUAUCGGGAGGAACACCAGAGGCGAAGGCGGCCACCUGGACAGACACUGACGCUGAGACGCGAAAGCGUGGGGAGCAAACAGG
RNAcentral lists this ribosomal RNA (253 nucleotides) under uncultured bacterium. Its description in RNAcentral is "partial 16S ribosomal RNA". It matches the Rfam family "Bacterial small subunit ribosomal RNA", at positions 524 to 776 of the family's 1533-position model. The record is from RNAcentral.